This 253-nucleotide ribosomal RNA is filed under the name uncultured bacterium. Its description in RNAcentral is "partial 16S ribosomal RNA". It matches the Rfam family "Bacterial small subunit ribosomal RNA", at positions 524 to 776 of the family's 1533-position model. The record is from RNAcentral.
UACGGGGGGAGCAAGCGUUGUUCGGAUUUACUGGGCGUAAAGGGCGCGUAGGCGGCGUGACAAGUCACUUGUGAAAUCUCUGAGCUUAACUCAGAACGGCCAAGUGAAACUGUUGUGCUAGAGUGCAGAAGGGGCAAUCGGAAUUCUUGGUGUAGCGGUGAAAUGCGUAGAUAUCAAGAGGAACACCUGAGGUGAAGACGGGUUGCUGGGCUGACACUGACGCUGAGGCGCGAAAGCCAGGGGAGCAAACGGG